GGGGGUAUAGCUCAGUGGUAAAGCAUGUGCUUAGCAUGCGCAAGGUCCCAGGUUCAAUCCCCAGUACCUCCA
Molecule: transfer RNA, 72 nt
Filed under: Camelus bactrianus (Bactrian camel)
Lineage: Eukaryota; Metazoa; Chordata; Mammalia; Artiodactyla; Camelidae
Also listed under: 1 other name
Rfam family: tRNA
About the family: Transfer RNA (tRNA) molecules are approximately 80 nucleotides in length. Their secondary structure includes four short double-helical elements and three loops (D, anti-codon, and T loops).
Source: Rfam by way of RNAcentral